This is a long non-coding RNA of Pan troglodytes (chimpanzee), 5412 nucleotides long. RefSeq lists it as uncharacterized. The record is from RefSeq and is a predicted model, not a curated record. Lineage: Eukaryota; Metazoa; Chordata; Mammalia; Primates; Hominidae. The transcript has 4 exons.
CCACCACACCCAAACGCAUCUAGGCAAAGUGUGGAGCCGACCAGGCGGGUUUUCCUCCUUCUCGCAACUCCUCCUCCUGCCCCCCUCCCUCCCAAAUCUCAUCUGAGUGAGUCAGCUGAGGGUGGCAGCUCAGAAGUGAGGCAGCCGUGAGGCGGAGGACAGGCUGGGGGAUCCCAAAGGGUCCGCUCCAGCCCCCAACCCAGGCACUGGGACUCUGGUGGCACCCUGGGUGGCAGGCAAGCCUUGAAAUCAAGUGCACGAGCCUUGGAAAGGAGGACCGGGAGAGUUAUGGCAUUUAUGAAUAAAGAAGAGAAAGAGAAUCACUCGGAUGGGAAAAGUUAACUGGAUUGUUCCCACCUGCAUGGAUCACCGGGAUGAAGCUGUGCCACCCUGUAGGAAUUAGAAGACCACGUCCAGGAAUUGAGCAUCGGGUGCAGGAUCCAGUCUUCUGAGGCCCUGAAACCACAUGUGGUCCUAAUAUGCUAUUUAGAAAAUACAAAGUGGAAAGAAGAAAAAUGAAAGUCACGCAUCGUCCUUCAACCCAGGGACAACUCCUGCUAACACUCGGAUGGAUGAAUUUUACAUAUACAUAUAAAUAUUCUCAUCUACAGUCAAAUUUAAUAAUGUGAAUGCCUUAAUAAACCACUAAUUCCUCAAUUUCAUCUUUUGGGUUAAUUUCCUAGUCUUUAAGGAACUGUUAGAUGCAAUGCUACCGGUAGUAGGGGAAGGACACGAAAAAAGAAAUCUUAUUUUUUGGCCAAAAUAUCCUGCAUAUUGGAUUUGCCUUUGUUUUGUUUUGUUUUGCUUUGAGCCUUCUGCCUUCUUAGGCAGCUGUUUGUAUACUUUCCUCUGCUUUGGAUUUCAGUCUGGAAGCAGCACAUUGAUUUUAAACAGAAAUACCUUAAAAGAGGUGGUGGUUGGGGGUUUACAAUCCCCCCACCAUCAGCUUGCAAGUGGUUCUGUUCCGGCUGGCACGUUACACCAGUAAGAGGCUUGGUGUAUCACCCAGGGAGCAGGUUAGCUAAAUUCAAGGUGAACAGACGGCAUUCUCUGUUUCUCUUCUGGCUGUCUGCCUAGUUUGGGGUCUUGGGGAAUUGGAGAAGCAAAAUUUGGGGGCUGGGAUCUUACAAGUGCUCACAGCACAACCCAAGCCUAAGACCUUAUUUUUCCCUUCCUUCCCUCUUCUUUUUUUUUCAGUUUACAAUUAACACUCAGGGUUUAGUCUCCACCCCUCCCUCUUGAAAUAGAAUUUUUAUCUCUUGAUUCAUGCUACAAGAUAAAAUCCAUGUUUAUCCAGUUGCAUGAAUAAUUGAUAAGCUCUUUCCAACUUGCCAGAAGCAACUUAGCCGUCUCGCCUUGCGGCCUGGAAGCCCUGGCAAUUUCCGGAGCACCGGCAAGAGACUUUUGCACAGUUUCUGCUUGGAGUCUACCGACUGUCUGUCUCAGAGGUCUGGACAGCUGCUUGUUACAUUUGGCUCACGCUAGCUUUAAAAAGGAAUGUAUGGACCUUACUGCAGAACGUCCCAAUUCUUCAGGCCAAGGUAAAUGCAAGUUGGGGUGGUAGUGAAGUUGCAAACUGCUCCUAAGAAAAAAAGUUAACAAGAUAUUGUUCCUUCCACCCCCGGCCUCCCGUUGGUUCCCCCACCCCAAGAGCCUUCCCACCAGGCUUCAGGGUGACAAACGCUUGGAUUUGAUGGGGCUGAGACUUGCUUGUGCCUUUGUUGAUGGCAGGGCACUUUUAUUGAAACUUGUUGAAAGGAGCUAGCUUCGAAGGCUCCUCCAAGACUCUACACCACAGGGGGAAGCAGGACUUUGAUUUAAGAUACUCACAUCUAUCAACCACAGGCAUUCAUUCAGUUUUCUCUUUCAUUUGGGGAAGGAAGGGAGAAAAUGAAUCAGAGGCUGAUUUUUUUUUUCUGGCCUGUUUUCCCCAAGCUCCAGGAAAUUAAGAAACAUGCCAUUAGUUUUAGCAAACAAUUUAAACAAAGUAAAACCAGAUCUCCCACCAAGGCCGAGGACCAUGAGGGGUCUGAGUGCCCCUGGCCCUGUUUGUGGACUCUGCGGGUCAUGGAGGAGCCAUGAAGUGGGAAGAGAGCUUGGGUGAUACAGGAUGGUGUGCGUGACAGUCCUCCCUGUGUCUUCUUUGCUACCAUAUUUAUCAUAGCUUAGAUGUGUGUGGCCUGGUGGCACCAAAGGUGAACAGAAAGCAUUUUUGGGGCGCCAUGGCCCAGACCUUAGCCUGAACGUUGUGGGAAGCCAGUGGGUGUCUGCAUGUGUUGGCGAGAACCAGUGGACAUCUCCUUGGAAGCCAGUCCCCAAGGUGGCUCUAGAUGGCUUACUCCUGCAUCUUGCCAAAUCCACAGGGUCCAGCUGUGUCUCCAGGGCUGCGUGGCUUAUUGAAAAAGAGAGUGUGUGGUGGAUUUCAAUAUCUAUAUUCUACAAAAAAUGUAAAAGGGGCAGGGGACGGGAACAAAGAAACCAGUGCUGGUGAUCCUGCCCCCACAGUAAGUUCUGCUUUAGUGUGGACAUGGGACAGGGGCCAGCCCCUGCUGCUCCCUGGGGGAACACAGGUCCGUGGGGGUGGCUCACCGUCAUGUAUGUGAUUUUGAUGUUUGUACAUUUGUUGUACCACAUGAACCAGUCUUGGACGGCUGUUCUGAGUAAAUGGGAUGAUGUGGGUAAAGCCCCCAAGACCAGAGCCUGGCACAGGGCCGUGCUGGAUAAUGCUGACUCAUGGUGAUGAGGGGAAGGAGGAGGCAGGAUGCCAUGGGUGAGGAGUCCAGGCUCCAGUGCUGCUGAACCACCAUCCACCAGUAUGAUCUCAGCAAGCCUCUCUCCACCUGGACCCAGAUGAUUCACCCGUUAAACAUCCCAGGCACAUUGAAGGGAGAUGAACAGUGUCCAGCAUGGUCCUCAGCUGUGAGAAGCCAUACACUCACCUUUUCCACCCUACAACUUUCCGUCAUCUGGGGUGCAGGUUUCUUUCCUCUCUUUUUCCUUAUUACAAGGUAAAAUACAGUCUUAUUACAGAAAACUAGAAACCAGAAAAGCCCAUCACACAGUCAUUCAUUCAACAAAUGCGUAUUGGGAAGGGUGGGGAUGAGCCCCUGGUGGAAAUGGGGUGAAGCCGUGGACUUUCUCUGGGUGCGAUGAAGGCUGACGGAGGGCUUUGAGCAUCCUCAAGAUUCAGAAGUCUGUUUUCAGUCAUCAGCAGCUGUACCAGGAGAGGAAGAACCUCUGAAGUGUUCUGGCUCCAAAAGCUAGUGAAAGUGCAGAUUUCCUGAGAAGGAGUGAAGCUUAGGGCCCUGCCAGGCAGUGAUGCUUUCUCAACUUUGGGGGCAGUAAAAUGUACAGACUCCGGCGAAGGAGACCAGGAAGGAGGCUGCAAAGUGUGCAUGCUCUGGGAAGGGGGCAGGGAAGGCUAGCAAAAAGCUGUUGGGGACCCAGCCAGGCUGCUUCCCUUGGAGGCCCAGCCUGAGAUGUGUUUCCCACCAUAUAUGGCAGAAAUGAUUUCAGGUGCUAUGUAGAUAAGCCACGAACUAUCACUGAAUCUUUUCUUGGUUGUAUUGUGAAAGAAAAAGUCUCUGUUGGGUGCUGGUGUAUCUUUGACACCACUUAACACUUGUCAAGCUCUCAUUUACUGAGGUAAAGCAGUCCUCAGGCUCAGAGCUUGUGACCAGGGAGUGGUAUCUAGCCAAAAUUUUAUUUCAAUGCUUUGUUUUCAUUGUCUUUAAAACAAAAGAUGGUUAUCUUCCAUUUGCCAUGAAAGAUACUGCUUCCCAUUUCUGUUUUUUACUCAUUUUUCAUUAAGGUAUAAUUUACAUGCAGUAAAGUCUCGUCUUUUUAGUGUACAGUUCUGUGGAAUUUCGAUAAAUGUAUCCAGUGUGCAACCAUCACAUCAAGAUAUAGAAGGGUUCCUUCACCCCUAAAUCCUUCCUUGGGGAUGACAACCUCUCUUCACCCUCAGUCCUUUGCAACUAAUAAUCUGUUUUCUUUUCCUAUAGUUUUGUCUUUUCUAGCAUGUCCCAUAAAUGGAAUCUUAUAGCAUGUAGCCUUUUGAGUCUUGCUUCUCUCACUUAGCCGAAUGCAUCUGAUAUCCAUUCACAUUGUGCCUGUAUCAGUAGUUCAUUCAUUUUUAAUAAUGAGUGGUGUUCAGUUGUAGGCCUACACUAUAAUUUGUAGAGGGACAUUAGGAUUGUUUCCAGAUUUGGCAGUUACAAAUAAAGCCCCUAUAAACAUUCACGUAGAAGUUUUUCAUGAGCAUGGGUUUUCAUUUCUCUUGGGUAAGUACCGAUAAGUAGGAUUGCUAAGUUGUCUAAUACAUGCAUGUUUAACUUUGUAAGAAAUGGCCAAGCUGUUUUUCAGAGUGGCUAUACUAUUCUGCAUUCCUACCAGCAACGUAUGAGAGUUCCAGUUGCUCCAUAUCCUCAUCAGCACUUGAUGUUGUCAGAUUUUUUUUUUGUUUUUGUUAGUCUAAUGGGUAUGUACUAGUAUCUCAUUGUGGUUUUAGUUUGUAUUUUCCUGAUGACUAAUGAUGUUUAACACCUUUUUAUGGGCUUAUUUAAAAUCACUAUAUUUUCUUUGGUGAAGAUUUCAAAUCUUUUGCCCAUUUUAAAAUUCGAAUUGUUUGUGUUUUAUUAUUGAACUUACUGAGUAUUUACAUAUUCUGGAUACAAGUUCUUUUCUAGAUAUGUUAUUAGCAAAUUAUUCUGCUAGCUUUCUUAUUAAUUUUCUUAAUGAUGUCUCUUGGAGAUUGUAUUAAUUAGUCUGUUCUCAUGCUGCUAAUAAAGACAUACCUGAGACUGAGUAAUUUAUAAAGGAAAGAGGUUUAAUUGACUCACAGUUCAGCAAGGCUGGGGGAGCCUCAGGAAAUGUACAAUCAUGAAGGAAGGGGAAGCAAAUAUGUCUUUCUUCACAUGGCAGCAGGAAGGAGAAAUGCCAAGCAAAAGGGGGAAAAGCCCCUUAUAAAACCAUCAGAUCUCGUGAGAACUCACUCACUAUCACAAGAGCAGCAGCAUGGAGGUAACUGCCCCCAUGAUUCAAUUACCUCCCACCAGAUCCCUCCCAUGACAUGUGGAGAUUUUGGGAACUACAAUUCAAGAUGAGAGCUGGGUGGGAACACAGCCAAACCAUAUCAGAGAUCAUAGGUUGUUAAUUUUGAUCAAGUAUAAUUUAUCAAUUUUUUCUUUUGUGGAUUAUAUUUUUGGGGCCAUAUCUGAGAAAUAUUUACUUAAUCUAGGGUCACAAAGAUUAUCUUCUAUGUUUUCUCCUGAAGGUUUUAUAGUUUAAAGUUUUACAUUGAAGUCUAUUAUCUAUUUUGAGUGAAUAUUUUGAUAUAGUGUGAUAUAUGAAUGGAGGUUCAUUUUAAAAAUAAAUAUCCAAUUAUUCCAACCCCAUUGGUUGAGAAGACUA